Molecule: ribosomal RNA, 186 nt
Filed under: Staphylococcus haemolyticus
Lineage: Bacteria; Bacillati; Bacillota; Bacilli; Caryophanales; Staphylococcaceae
Description: partial 16S ribosomal RNA
Rfam family: Bacterial small subunit ribosomal RNA
Source: RNAcentral
UUUAUGGAGAGUUUGAUCCUGGCUCAGGAUGAACGCUGGCGGCGUGCCUAAUACAUGCAAGUCGAGCGAACAGAUAAGGAGCUUGCUCCUUUGACGUUAGCGGCGGACGGGUGAGUAACACGUGGGUAACCUACCUAUAAGACUGGGAUAACUUCGGGAAACCGGAGCUAAUACCGGAUAAUAUUU